AUCCAGACUCCUACGGGAGGCAGCAGUGGGGGAUAUUGCACAAUGGGGGGAACCCUGAUGCAGCGACGCCGCGUGGGUGAAGAAGUAUUUCGGUAUGUAAAGCCCUAUCGGCAGGGAAGAAAUUGGACGGUACCUGACUAAGAAGCCCUGGCUAACUACGUGCCAGCAGCCGCGGUAAUACGUAGGGGGCAAGCGUUAUCCGGAUUCACUGGGUGUAAAGGGAGCGUAGACGGCGACGCAAGUCUGGAGUGAAAGCCCGGGGCCCAACCCCGGGACUGCUCUGGAAACUGCGUCGCUGGAGUACGGGAGGGGCAGGCGGAAUUCCUGGUGUAGCGGUGAAAUGCGUAGAUAUCAGGAGGAACACCGGCGGCGAAGGCGGCCUGCUGGACCGUGACUGACGUUGAGGCUCGAGAGCGUGGAGAGCAAACAGGAUUAGAUACCCCGGUA
Molecule: ribosomal RNA, 447 nt
Filed under: uncultured bacterium
Lineage: Bacteria
Description: bacterial SSU rRNA
Rfam family: Bacterial small subunit ribosomal RNA
Source: RNAcentral